Molecule: non-coding RNA, 59 nt
Filed under: unclassified sequences
Also listed under: 1 other name
Source: RNAcentral
UCCAAAGAGGACGAUUUGACUGAUUGCAACCUCUCGAAAAAAGUGCUAAAAUGUAUGCC